CGUAGCUCAGCUGGUUAGAGCACAUCACUCAUAAUGAUGGGGUCACAGGUUCGAAUCCCGUCG
RNAcentral lists this transfer RNA (63 nucleotides) under Vibrio parahaemolyticus. Its description in RNAcentral is "tRNA-Met". It matches the Rfam family "tRNA", at positions 6 to 65 of the family's 71-position model. From Rfam's summary of the family: Transfer RNA (tRNA) molecules are approximately 80 nucleotides in length. Their secondary structure includes four short double-helical elements and three loops (D, anti-codon, and T loops). The record is from RNAcentral. RNAcentral also lists the same sequence under 1 other name. Lineage: Bacteria; Pseudomonadati; Pseudomonadota; Gammaproteobacteria; Vibrionales; Vibrionaceae.